RNAcentral lists this ribosomal RNA (482 nucleotides) under uncultured bacterium. Its description in RNAcentral is "bacterial SSU rRNA". It matches the Rfam family "Bacterial small subunit ribosomal RNA", at positions 56 to 518 of the family's 1533-position model. The record is from RNAcentral.
UGCAAGUCGAACGCGAAAGGGACUUCGGUCCUGAGUAAAGUGGCGCACGGGUGAGUAACGCGUAGAUAACCUGUCUUCAUGUCUGGAAUAAUACGCCGAAAGGGGUACUAAUACCGGAUAUUCUUGCUUUUCAUAAGUUAUGCAAGCAAAGGUGGCCUCUGCAUAUGCUACUGCAUGAAGAGGGGUCUGCGUACCAUUAGCUAGUAGGUGGGGUAAUGGCCUACCUAGGCGACGAUGGUUAGCGGGUCUGAGAGGAUGAUCCGCCACACUGGCACUGGAACACGGGCCAGACUCCUACGGGAGGCAGCAGUGAGGAAUAUUGCGCAAUGGGGGAAACCCUGACGCAGCGACGCCGCGUGGGUGAGGAAGGCCUUCGGGUCGUAAAGCUCUGUCAAGAGGAAAGAAGUGUACAAUGGCUAAUACCUGUUGUAUUUGACGGUACCUCUAAAGGAAGCACCGGCUAACUCCGUGCCAGCCGCCGC